CUUACCGGGUCCGGACACACUGAGGAUUGACAGGUAUUAUAUAGCGCGCUUGCGCGUCUAUUGUUAAAUAUGCUAGUCCUUUCAUGAUUAUGUGAUAGGUGGUGCAUGGCCGUUCUUAGUUCGUGGAGUGAUCUGUCUGCUUAAUUGCGUUUCAGAUAAGGAUCUAUAUUCUUUACAGAAGUGUUGCGUUGUGCAUUUGACCCCUCGUUCGCGA
Molecule: ribosomal RNA, 214 nt
Filed under: Globigerinita glutinata
Lineage: Eukaryota; Foraminifera; Rotaliida; Globigerinitidae
Description: partial small subunit ribosomal RNA
Rfam family: Eukaryotic small subunit ribosomal RNA
Source: RNAcentral